GCCCCUGUAGCGCAAUGGAUAGCGCGUUGGACCUCUAAUCCAAAGGUCGUGCGUUCGAAUCCCACCUGGGGUG
This 73-nucleotide transfer RNA is filed under the name Trichonephila clavata. It matches the Rfam family "tRNA". From Rfam's summary of the family: Transfer RNA (tRNA) molecules are approximately 80 nucleotides in length. Their secondary structure includes four short double-helical elements and three loops (D, anti-codon, and T loops). Further hydrogen bonds mediate the characteristic L-shaped molecular structure. tRNAs have two regions of fundamental functional importance: the anti-codon, which is responsible for specific mRNA codon recognition, and the 3' end, to which the tRNAs corresponding amino acid is attached (by aminoacyl-tRNA synthetases). tRNAs cope with the degeneracy of the genetic code in two manners: having more than one tRNA (with a specific anti-codon) for a particular amino acid; and 'wobble' base-pairing, i.e. permitting non-standard base-pairing at the 3rd anti-codon position. Lineage: Eukaryota; Metazoa; Arthropoda; Arachnida; Araneae; Nephilidae. The record is from Rfam by way of RNAcentral.